Molecule: long non-coding RNA, 1835 nt
Organism: Saccostrea cuccullata (small rock oyster)
Lineage: Eukaryota; Metazoa; Mollusca; Bivalvia; Ostreida; Ostreidae
Exons: 5
Source: RefSeq, a predicted model, not a curated record
CACUCGCGCUCACCGACUUGUGGGGAACUCACACCUGACAAAGGACCUUUCUUAUGGGGAAAGUUCAGAAUUGUGGGGAACUCUCUCGUUCCCCACAAAUAUGGUCAUGGGGUUUUUUGAAUUCUACGUGUUCUACUGAUAAUAUUUAUUCGAUUUGUGGUCAUUUUUGAAAAAAUCCCCAUAAGUCCGUAAAAUUGACUCGCAGUAAUUUUCUCACUGCACCGUAAAACGAAUGUUUGAGGAUGCUGGGAAAUGUUCAUUCGGAACGCAGCGGAAUUUAAACUGGUCCCCAUAUGAUACCAAUUUAUUGCGGGCAAUGGCUGCUCCGAGAAUAUGUGGCCUAAUGGCUAUCCUGUAAGAACAAACUACGGAUUUAUAUGAAUUCAGCACCCCCGGGAUAUGGUUUUCGGGUUUUCACCACAAGAGCAAAUUAUACAACUUUAUUCUUGAAAAUGUUAGAGACUGAGACUUGGAGUCAAAGUCAACAGACACGCUUGCAUGGACAUGAAGGAUGUAAAGAACUAGAGUAUUAUAACUGAAAGCAUUUUGUCUGGAUUUGUGUAUGGAAACAGAAGGAUUUAGUAUUGGUAUCCUGAAUUUUUGUCAACUUCUAGCCAAGAUCCUGUACUUAAGCUGAAUGUGGAGGACAGAUGUACACACAGUACUAGUAUAGAGGGUAUUAUCUCGGUACCUUAAAACUCCAAACGACAGGGAGAAGAAGAAAACUGCAUAUUUCCGAUGUAUCUUCACAGCAACAUGACCCAAAGCACUACCAUUAAAGGAUUUGAUUUGACAUUAAGGAAGUAAAAAAAUGAAGGCAUUAGUCAUAAAGAAAAUUAAAGAACUUUAUGUCUGAAUAUUAUAUCAACAAUACCAUAGAUCUAAAGAUGGAUUAUUUUGCCUUAUAAUUUAUAUUAAUGCAUGUACAUGUAAUUUUAUUCUUUUUAUAUAUACAAUCAUGUAGUGUUACCAUUUUUCACAAAGCUUAAAAAGUUAUGUAGGGCCACACCAAUUUAAUUUCUUGUUCGUCGGACAUUUGAUUUAAAAAAAGUACAAGCAGUUAAAUGAUAAUAUUAUUACUCUUUGCUGGGCAAUUUUUUAGGCGGAGCGUGAAAAUUUGAGCGGACAAUUAUAUUUUUUCUGAUUUACAGAGUAAGCAGAUAUAAAAUACAAUAAAUAGAGCGGAAAUGGAACAGAAAAUAGCACAGAAUUCCUAUGGUGCGAGAAAUUGAAAUUAAUAUUAUUUGUAUGGUUUUGUUUAAAUAAGCGCGUGGGUCCGACGAACAAAAAUUUUCAUUAGUGUGGCCUAGAUCAUUUAGAUUCAAUUCAUUUUUUUCUUCAAAUUACCACAUGCCAGAAUUCAUAAGAAGGAAAUUUAUAUAUGGCUGGUGGUUGUGGCCAUUUUUAGACUAUAUUGAUCUCCUUUAGAAGGAGAGCUCCUUAUAAAAUUAUACAAAAAAUGACCAAAUUUUAAAACUAAAAUGUACAGAAUUUUUCUUUGCCAAAUGAUAGUUCAUAGAACCACAAUUCUUCAAUCAUGUCUACUUGGAGAUCAGUGGAUGGAUAUUCAUAUACAAUACACAGCUGAAGCAGGUUUUGUUAGGUUAUUUUAUUUUCAAAAGGAAUGCAUUAUUUUCUUCAGUCCAUUAAUGUUAAGCUCUUUAAUAGAAACAAUUGUAGAAGAUUUAUCAUAUUUUGUUUAGAAUUUUGAAGAAUUUGUUAAUCACUCAGUGAAAAUUAUCCCUUGUCAUAAUACAAAUUUUUAAAAUGUAUGUACAAAUACUUUUAUGUUGAAAUGACCAUGCAAGGAAGAAAAUAAAACAAGUUUAAGUGUA